RNAcentral lists this ribosomal RNA (497 nucleotides) under uncultured bacterium. RNAcentral describes it as "partial 16S ribosomal RNA". It matches the Rfam family "Bacterial small subunit ribosomal RNA", at positions 28 to 507 of the family's 1533-position model. The record is from RNAcentral.
GAUGAACGCUGGCGGCGUGCCUAAUACAUGCAAGUCGAGCGAACAGACGAGGAGCUUGCUCCUCUGACGUUAGCGGCGGACGGGUGAGUAACACGUGGAUAACCUACCUAUAAGACUGGGAUAACUUCGGGAAACCGGAGCUAAUACCGGAUAAUAUAUUGAACCGCAUUGUUCAAUAGUGAAAGACGGUUUUGCUGUCACUUAUAGAUGGAUCCGCGCCGCAUUAGCUAGUAGGUAAGGUAACGGCUUACCAAGGCAACGAUGCGUAGCCGACCUGAGAGGGGGAUCGGCCACACUGGAACUGAGACACGGUCCAGACUCCUACGGGAGGCAGCAGUAGGGAAUCUUCCGCAAUGGGCGAAAGCUUGACGGAGCAACGCCGCGUGAGUGAUGAAGGUCUUCGGAUCGUAAAACUCUGUUAUUAGGGAAGAACAAAUGUGUAAGUAACUAUGCACGUCUUGACGGUACCUAAUCAGAAAGCCACGGCUAACUACGUG